This 422-nucleotide ribosomal RNA is filed under the name uncultured bacterium. RNAcentral describes it as "bacterial SSU rRNA". It matches the Rfam family "Bacterial small subunit ribosomal RNA", at positions 958 to 1390 of the family's 1533-position model. The record is from RNAcentral.
AACGCGAAGAACCUUACCUGGGCUUGACAUGUACGUAGUAGUGAAGGGAAACCGGAACGAGCCUUCGGGCAGCGUAGACAGGUGCUGCAUGGCUGUCGUCAGCUCGUGUCGUGAGAUGUUGGGUUAAGUCCCGCAACGAGCGCAACCCGUGUUGCUAGUUACAAGUGUCUAGCGAGACUGCCGGUAACAAGCCGGAGGAAGGUGCGGAUGAUGUCAAGUCAGCAUGGCCUAUAUGUCCAGGGCUACACACACGCUACAAUGGCUGGUACAAAGAGAAGCGAAAGGGAGACCUGAAGCGAAUCUCAUCAAAGCCAGUCAUAGUUCGGAUUGCAGGCUGCAACUCGCCUGCAUGAAGUCGGAGUUGCUAGUAACCGCAGGUCAGCGAAUACUGCGGUGAAUACGUUCCCGGGCCUUGUACACAC